GUAUCCUGGCUCAGGAUGAACGCUGGCGGCGUGCUUAAUACAUGCAAGUCGAACGAAGCACCUUGGACAGAAUCCUUCGGGAGGAAGACCAUUGUGACUGAGUGGCGGACGGGUGAGUAACGCGUGGGUAACCUGCCUGUACAGGGGAUAACAGUUGGAAACGACUGCUAAUACCGCAUAAGCGCACAGUACCGCAUGGUACCGGUGUGAAAAACUCCGGUGGUACAAGAUGGACCCGCGUCUGAUUAG
This 249-nucleotide ribosomal RNA is filed under the name uncultured bacterium. RNAcentral describes it as "partial 16S ribosomal RNA". It matches the Rfam family "Bacterial small subunit ribosomal RNA", at positions 14 to 244 of the family's 1533-position model. The record is from RNAcentral.